CUCAGAGCUCUGCACUCAGGGGCUCAGAAGUUUGUCUCUGGACUAAGUAGGCAGAAGACAAAUUUCCACCAGGAGAAGAAUUUCUGCCAUGCUCUGCCGCAGCCUGCUGUGGGUUUGCUUGGCUUCCUUUGGCUUCGCACCCUGAUUUUAAUUGCUAAUAAGUAGCCAAAGAAGAUGAUGAUAAAAGAAUAUCCCAUAAGGCAAAUCCAGAGAAUGUGAAAAACAAUAGACAAAAAGAGUUUCUUGCGAAAAACACAAUUG
Molecule: long non-coding RNA, 261 nt
Filed under: Fukomys damarensis (Damara mole-rat)
Lineage: Eukaryota; Metazoa; Chordata; Mammalia; Rodentia; Bathyergidae
Description: lncRNA (ENSFDAG00000032510.1)
Source: RNAcentral